This is a long non-coding RNA of Tyto alba (common barn owl), 808 nucleotides long. RefSeq lists it as uncharacterized. Lineage: Eukaryota; Metazoa; Chordata; Aves; Strigiformes; Tytonidae. The record is from RefSeq and is a predicted model, not a curated record. The transcript is spliced from 4 exons.
UUCAUUAAACAGAACUGACCACUGAUGGUGUUCCAACAGUCAAUGGAUUUACAUAAGGGAUGAACAUGACCCAUUACCAGUCUGCAGCUCUGUACCUCAAAACCCAGAGGAGCCUGUCCUUCUUGACCUCCAAUCAUAGAAGAUUCCCAGUUUUUCAGUAACAGUUGUGGAAGACACUUUGCUCAUAGAAUGGUGGUGAUGCACAAAUGCUAGCUUUGGAAUCCUGACUAGAAGUGUGGGAUCGCUCAUAUGUCAGGUCACUGGAGCCAGGCCUGCCUGAGGAUGUUUACCUGUACACGGCCAGAUGUUCUGAACAGCAGAAAGCCAUAUUGGGAUAAAGACUGAGAAAGAAAGGACAGGAUCAGAAAACAAUACCAGGAAAAUAGACAGAUAACAGGAGUAGAAAAAUGAAGCAGCCCCAAAAAGGGGAUGAGAGAACACUGACCAAGAUGGAAUUGUGAGCUGAAAUGGGAAACACAACAUGGCCUCCUUUGUACUUUGUGCAAAAUAUGCCCCAAGAGACAAUGUGAAAAUGCUAUGAAACAAGAAAGUUUGGUACAGAGACAUGGGGACAUACUACAUCCUCACAUAGUGGCUGCCUGCUCAUAGUAGCUUCAUAGCCAUCUCCUCUGAGAAAUUUCCUGAGAUUUUGGAGUAGGCAUGUGCAAUGGCUACACUAAAAUGAAGGUUGGGGAGGAGGCAGAAAUAUGACAAAGACUGAAAAAAAAUGGAAUCUGUGCAUAAUCAUCAUUGGGAAAAUUCAGUGAUGGAAAGUUCAGUGCUUUUCCGAGAAUCAGGAUGACAAUGA